UGUACAAAUCUUAUGACACUUUAAAUUACGGACUAAAGAAUAAAUUACGGACUAAAGAAUUGGAUUAAUUGUCCACAGGUACAUGUACAGAAGGUAGUUCUGCAUGUUUGAUAAAACGGAAGUAAUGGCCUAAAACCGUUUAUCCGGGUAGCCUGGAUUCGCCGUACGGAAAGGCAAUUCUAUUUAUUUAUAUUUAAUGGUAACCGAGUUUAACAUUACCUGUACGAGCAGUGGAUAGAAAAGUUUGUUGGUCAAAAAUUCGGGGUUAACCGUGCUACCAUUUGAGUGGUGUAAUAAACAAUUAACGGCUUGACAUCAGUUUCAGACCCAUCAACAUCAUUGAAAGUAAAUUGAAAUGUCGAAGGAAUCCUGCAGAAGCCUUGCAUAUUUUACAUCAAUACUCGUACAUGUGUAUAUUAUUCCUCUACGUUUGAAGUCCAGCUCGUUUACACGUAUUAUACGGGAGAACUUUCAUACCAUAUUAAACGAUUUUUCUAUAUUUAAUAUUUGAACCCGAUUGAAUAUGAUACAGAUCAAAAUAAGAGUUAAACCUGACAGUAUGUAAAAUGGAAAGUGUGAAGGGAUCACAGAGCCAGACAAUAUUAAAAAUCACAGCAUUCUUUUGAGUGACUGAUAGGUGUAGAUUUUACAUUCUCUCCUCAAAUUCAAUAAUGUCCCAUUUUAGUUUUCAAUUAUUAAUAGAGAAAAUGAUAAAUGUUAGCUGAUAUACAUCAUUUUCAAGCAUUUGUUUAUUUGUAUAUCAGGUAGUGAAAAAUAGAUGUAUUUUGUUUUCCUCACACCUGAGCACAAUGUGCUCAAUGUGAGCUACAUUUGUAUUGUGAUAACGCUGUGUCCUUGCGGACGUCAAGUCGUCCGUCGUCAACAAUUGUGUUUAAACGACAUCUCCUCCAAAACCACCGGAUGGAUUCUAAUGAAACGUAAUUGGUCUGUUACUUGGAUGGUCAUCUACCAAAGUUGUACAAAAGGUUUUGCUUGGUUUUACACAGGGGCCGCCAGAGCUAAAAAAUACAAAAUCUUCAAACGACAUCUCCGCCUAAACCGAUGGUCAGAUUUUGAAAUAAUUUCACACAAAUGGUCCUUAUGUCACCUUCUACUAUAAUUGUUCAAGUUAUACAGAUUUGUCUUCAGGGAGCGUGGUCACUUUUCCCUAUAUGUAUAUAGUGGAAACAUUAAAAAUCUUCUUUUGUGAAACUGCUAGGCUAAGCCCGAUUUUCAAACUUGGCCUAGAGAUCAUUAAGGCAAACAUUCUGACCAAGUAUAAUAAAGAUUUAGUCAACAUUGUUGCCUCUAGAGUGUUCACAAGCUUUUCAUUUGCUUUGACCGAGUGACCUAGUGUUUGACUCCACAUGACCCAGUUUCAAACUUGGUCUAGAAAUCAUCAAGACCAACAUUCUAAAUAAGUUUCAUAAAGAUUGAGUCACAAUUGUGGCCUCUAGAGUGUUCACAAGGCAAAUGACGACGGAUGACGGAUGCCGACGGACGCCGGACCAUAACCGGUCACAAUAUCUCACCUUGAGCACUUUGUUCUAAAAUGUGUUCAUUUUACAGUUUUUAUUCAUGCAAUAAAUCAGUUAGACAAUACACACGCGUGUGUAACCGGCGAGUAUCAUCAUGCUCAGGAGAUUCUCAGGGAACGUAAUUCGAUAGCAAACUCGCCUCUACGAGGCUCGUUUUGCUACCCAAAUUACGUUCCCUGAGAUUUCCUCGCGCAUGAUGAUACCAACGUAUCAUUUAUACGUAUAUAAAACUAUGUAUAUUUAUAUUCAGAACCUAUAUAUAGUUAUAAAACUGAAACUAUAAAAUGAUAUUAUUGGUUUGUUACUAAUUUUAACUACGGGAUUCCAGAUAUGAUUCUCCAGCAUAUAUUAUUGCGCGUGUAUUAUGUUCUUUACAUCAGUUUUUGCAUCAGUGUGUGCUAGUAAACAAGAUAAGCUUGACAUUUUCUUUUGAUAUUACUAAAUCAUAUACAUUGUACAAAUCUUAUGACACUUUAAAUUACGGACUAAAGAAUAGGAUUAAUUGUUCACAGGUACAUGUGCUUGAGGUAGUUCUGCAUGUUUGAUAAAACGGAAGUAAUGGCCUAACGCCGUUUAUCCGGGUAGCCUGGAUUCGCUGUACGGAAAGGCAAUUCAAUUUAUUUAUAUUUAAUGGUAACCGAGUUUAACAUUACCUAUACAAGCAGUGGAUAGAAGAGUUUGUUGGUCAACAAUUCGGGGUUAACCGUGCUAUCAUUUUAGUGGUGUAAUAAACAAUUAACGGCUUAACAUGAGUUCCAGACCCAUUGAAAGUGUACCAAUAACAAACAUUCAGACUAUGCAGUCUUUAAUGCUUACAGACGAAUGGAAUAAUCAUUUUAAUACAUGGCCGGAUGGUUGGACGCCUUGGCCGGAACAAAACAACAAAACUGUGGUAUUGCCAUUUGUUUACUGGAGUAAAAAAAUAGAAAUUUCACCACAUGGAUUAGUUCAUGUAUUUUAUGUACAAAAAGCUUAUCAAACAGUCAGACCGACUUAUUAUGGGUUUCAAGGUCUAAAUAUUCUGAAUCAGCCUUAUUUCUACCGCGUAUGUCGUAUGGACGAAGAUAUAAGCAUUGGGAUUUUCUGCAAGGACCCUUAAUCCACCCGUACAUUGCCCCAACACAUGACGUCCGGUUCUACACAUUCUUCGACGUAUAUUUCUAUGACCACUGACUUAAAUGUCGCACGCGACUGGGCCGCAAAGAUUCCAGGCAAAAUUGUUAGAAUAAAUUUGCAGAGUAUACAGGGUACACCAGUGGAGGAGACGUGUAUAAAUCUUACGAAGCCGGAAAUAAGAAGCCAAGUACUCACACACCCCAUUCAAGUCAACCGAGCGAUAUCGUCAAAGGAAUUCAUCUUUCAAUACCUUAUUCCAAAAUUCAUGUACAAUCCUGCUUUCAAUGGCCCUGUUCAGGUUUAUGAAGAAGUGGAUUUCGACAAAAAUGGAAACAUCUGGAAGAAGCUGUAAUAAGUAAAAUAAUGGAUAAUGGAAACUUUAUAUUAAUAUGUAUCUUUGGCACUAGCUCUUACCAAAGGGAGAUUAUCAGCAGAUGAUAUAUAACUACACAAGCUCAAAAAAAGAACAGUAUCAGGAUUUAAUAACCAAGGCGCGAUACGGCUAUUUUGCUGUUGAAUUGCUUAUUCUGCUGUUCAAUGAAAUUAUGCAACUCUAGUUACUUUCGGUUCCACGGGUCUUCUUGUUCUGCUGAAAGUUUAACGGCAUAUCGCGAUAAAUUAAUUUUGAUAUAUUGUGCAGGACGCUAUCGUUGAUCAUUAGAUCGUGGGGCUUGAUAUUUUAGCAAAACACAUACAAAAAUAUAAACUUUUCGAUAAUUGACCAGACAAUUAAGUCACUGGUAAAUAAUGCAACAAUGGACUUAACACCUCUGGUCAACAUUUUUCUCGAUGGCUUUUUAUACGCCUGUUUAAAAAGAACUUUCCAUCCAAUAACUACGGUCUUUUUCCUCAAAAUUAAUCCAAAUUUAAUUUAAAAUAUGUAUCGCUAUCAAGGUCAAGUUUACAAUCGAAAGUAACUAUUGAAGUAAAUUUUCGUUUUUUGGUAAAGCAAAUAAUUGUUUUCAAUAAAUUAAUUAUGUGAGCUAUAUGGUAUGACAUGAAACUAAACUUGUUUGAUUGUAUCACAUUUCUACUACAAAAACAUAUUUGCGUACUAGUAUUUUAUAACUUUAAAAUGCAUUAUCAUUAUGUCCGGUUGUAUUAAAACAAAAAUUUAGAAUGAAACUGUUACCACUGGUUCAUUUGAUUAAUUUAGAAACAUUAAUUAGACAAAAAAUAAUUUCAAUUGUUAUCAUAAAUUGUAUAUAUCCAGUAAAUUUGAAAAAUUU
Mercenaria mercenaria is the source of this 3883-nucleotide long non-coding RNA. RefSeq lists it as uncharacterized. Lineage: Eukaryota; Metazoa; Mollusca; Bivalvia; Venerida; Veneridae. The transcript is spliced from 4 exons. The record is from RefSeq and is a predicted model, not a curated record.